RNAcentral lists this ribosomal RNA (798 nucleotides) under Paenibacillus wynnii. Its description in RNAcentral is "partial 23S ribosomal RNA". It matches the Rfam family "Bacterial large subunit ribosomal RNA", at positions 1 to 792 of the family's 2925-position model. The record is from RNAcentral. Lineage: Bacteria; Bacillati; Bacillota; Bacilli; Caryophanales; Paenibacillaceae.
GGUUAAGCUAAUAAGAGCACACGGAGGAUGCCUAGGCGCCAGGAGCCGACGAAGGACGUGGCGAACAACGAAACUGCCUCGGGGAGCUGUAAGCAAGCUUUGAUCCGGGGGUGUCCGAAUGGGGAAACCCAGCUGUGGUAAUUCGCAGUUACUCAUACCUGAAUACAUAGGGUAUGUAGAGGCAGACCAGGGGAACUGAAACAUCUAAGUACCCUGAGGAAGAGAAAACAAUAGUGAUUCCGUCAGUAGCGGCGAGCGAACGCGGAACAGCCUAAACCAAGGGGCUUGCCCCUUGGGGUUGUGGGACGUCUCACAUGGAGUUACAAAGGAAUCUGGUAGGUGAAGAGGUCUGGAAAGGCCCGCGAUAGAGGUAAAAGCCCUGUAACCUAAACCAUGUUCUCUCCGAGACGGAUCCCGAGUAGUGCGGGGCACGUGAAACCCCGUAUGAAUCCAGCAGGACCAUCUGCUAAGGCUAAAUACUACCUGGCGACCGAUAGUGAAACAGUACCGUGAGGGAAAGGUGAAAAGCACCCCGGAAGGGGAGUGAAAUAGAACCUGAAACCGUGUGCUUACAAAAAGUCAGAGCCCAAUCUAUGGGUGAUGGCGUGCCUUUUGUAGAAUGAACCGGCGAGUUACGUUUAACAUGCAAGGUUAAGUCGAGAAGACGGAGCCGCAGCGAAAGCGAGUCUGAAUAGGGCGAAUUAGUAUGUGGACGUAGACCCGAAACCGUGUGAUCUACCCCUGUCCAGGGUGAAGGUGCGGUAACACGCACUGGAGGCCCGAACCCACGCAUGUUGA